Molecule: ribosomal RNA, 507 nt
Filed under: uncultured Geobacter sp.
Lineage: Bacteria; Pseudomonadati; Thermodesulfobacteriota; Desulfuromonadia; Geobacterales; Geobacteraceae
Description: bacterial SSU rRNA
Rfam family: Bacterial small subunit ribosomal RNA
Source: RNAcentral
GCGUGCUUAACACAUGCAAGUCGAACGGAAUUAGGGGCUUGCUCCUAAUUUAGUGGCGCACGGGUGAGUAACGCGUGGAUAACCUACCCUGGUAUCUGGGAUAACAUCUCGAAAGGGGUGCUAAUACCGGAUAAGCCCACGGGAACUUUGGUUCUUGCGGGAAAAGGUGGCCUCUAUUUAUAAGCUACUGUAUCAGGAUGGGUCCGCGUACCAUUAGCUAGUUGGUAGUGUAAUGGACUACCAAGGCUACGAUGGUUAGCUGGUCUGAGAGGAUGAUCAGCCACACUGGAACUGAGACACGGUCCAGACUCCUACGGGAGGCAGCAGUGGGGAAUUUUGCGCAAUGGGGGAAACCCUGACGCAGCAACGCCGCGUGAGUGAUGAAGGCCUUCGGGUCGUAAAGCUCUGUCAGAGGGGAAGAAGUGUAUGGGUGCUAAUACCGCUUAUACUUGACGGUACCCUCAAWGGAAGCACCGGCUAACUCCGUGCCAGCAGCCGCGGUAAUAC